UAUCGGUGAUGGAUGGGGAUGCGUCUGAUUAGCUUGUUGGCGGGGUAACGGCCCACCAAGGCUACGAUCAGUAGGGGUUCUGAGAGGAAGGUCCCCCACAUUGGAACUGAGACACGGUCCAAACUCCUACGGGAGGCAGCAGUGAGGAAUAUUGGUCAAUGGACGAGAGUCUGAACCAGCCAAGUAGCGUGCAGGAUGACGGCCCUAUGGGUUGUAAACUGCUUUUAUAAGGGAAUAAAGUGAGUCUCGUGAGGCUUUUUGCAUGUACCUUAUGAAUAAGGACCGGCUAAUUCCGUGCCAGCAGCCGCGGUAAUACGGAAGGUCCGGGCGUUAUCCGGAUUUAUUGGGUUUAAAGGGAGCGUAGGCCGGAGAUUAAGCGUGUUGUGAAAUGUAGACGCUCAACGUCUGCACUGCAGCGCGAACUGGUUUCCUUGAGUACGCACAAAGUGGGCGGAAUUCGUGGUGUAGCGGUGAAAUGCUUAGAUAUCACGAAGAACUCCGAUUGCGAAGGCAGCUCACUGGAGCGCAACUGACGCUGAAGCUCGAAAGUGCGGGUAUCGAACAGGAUUAGAUACCCUGGUAGUCCGCACGGUAAACGAUGGAUGCCCGCUGUUGGUCUGAAUAGGUCAGCGGCCAAGCGAAAGCAUUAAGCAUCCCACCUGGGGAGUACGCCGGCAACGGUGCAA
This 686-nucleotide ribosomal RNA is filed under the name uncultured Bacillota bacterium. RNAcentral's name for it is "bacterial SSU rRNA". It matches the Rfam family "Bacterial small subunit ribosomal RNA", at positions 213 to 899 of the family's 1533-position model. The record is from RNAcentral. Lineage: Bacteria; Bacillati; Bacillota.